GUAGGUGGCAAGCGUUAUCCGGAAUUACUGGGCGUAAAGGGCACGCAGGCGGCCAAGCAAGUCUGACGUGAAAGCUCCUGGCUUAACUGGGAGAGGUCGUUGGAAACUGUUUGGCUUGAGGUAAUGAGAGGGGUGCGGAAUUCCCGGUGUAGUGGUGGAAUGCGUAGAUAUCGGGAGGAACACCAGUGGCGAAAGCGGCAUCCUAGCAUUGACCUGACGCUCAUGUGCGAAAGCGUGGGGAGCAAACGGGGGAUUAGAUACCCCGGUAGUCCACGCUGUAAACGAUGAGCACUAGGUGUGGGUAGUGUUAAAGCUAUCUGUGCCGAAGCAAACGCGAUAAGUGCUCCGCCUGGGAGUACGGCCGCAAGGCUA
Molecule: ribosomal RNA, 372 nt
Filed under: uncultured organism
Description: partial 16S ribosomal RNA
Rfam family: Bacterial small subunit ribosomal RNA
Source: RNAcentral